Molecule: unclassified non-coding RNA, 261 nt
Filed under: Hevea brasiliensis (rubber tree)
Lineage: Eukaryota; Viridiplantae; Streptophyta; Magnoliopsida; Malpighiales; Euphorbiaceae
Source: RNAcentral
GCUCACUUGCGUUCCUAUUAGCUGAUAUUGUUUCACGUCAUCUAGGAGAUUGUCACUUGCUUCAAAAUAGACAUGUUGAUGAUCAUAUUUGUUGUUUAUUAGAUAAUUUUCCAUGCUAUGUGAACACAACAAAUGAAGUGAUGUUCUUAGCAUUAGUGUUUUUGGAAAGUUAUUAACUUGAAAAAUUAGAUGUUAUGAAAGAAUUGUUUGUUGCAACAAGAUUUGGAGUUGGAUAUUAGCCUAAAAACUAAAGUUAUUAAA